Non-coding RNA from Xyrichtys novacula (pearly razorfish), 22933 nucleotides. NCBI's taxonomy places the organism in Eukaryota, Metazoa, Chordata, Actinopteri, Labriformes, Labridae. The record is from the annotation of a GenBank genome assembly.
GUUGGGCUUCUACUACACCCCUGCAGAGCCAUAGACUGAUCAUCUCUGUGGGACAUCCAUAAACUGUAUAUAGAAUGAACUAUAGCGUCUGCCUCCUUGCUGGGUGAAGCCACCCCGAGAACAGCACCCUCUGUUGAUGGGCUGCAGAAUAGGUCAUAAAUCCCGCCUCCGCCAGCAAAGCUUAAGUGGAUAUGUGGAUAAACUUUAGAAAUUUAUUACACAGAACAUAAAUUUUUCUCCCCCCUGCUUGCAAUGUUGACAUGUAGUUACAGUAAGACUGGUUUGUGCUCAAGUCCUCUUUUUUCUGUGAAGCUCCGUUUUUAAAAGUUAUUAGGGGAUUCAUGUUUUCUUUGAUUGACACCUGAUACAGCCUAUGGGCGUUCAGGGAUUGUGUAGCUCACACGGGGGAUGCGCUGUUUGAGCCAAGCGUCAUCACAGCGACACUCGGCGACUCUCAUGCUGAAUGCGCUCAACGCUACUGCGCAAUGCUGGUUUCAGGAAAUGAAGAAAAAUCAUGGAAAUACUGAGAGCUUUUUGGCUUCAAAUCCGUAUACAGGCGGGAGGCAGGGCCAAGUUGUCCAUAUUAUAUACAGUCUAUGGGGACGUCACAUUGAUGCUGUAAUUCAUGCAAAAGGAACCUUGACCAAGUACUGAGAACAUAAAGAAACAUCAUUUUCUAAGGUCAGCAUUUCUCAAAUGCAGCACUUACUGGAAUGUCAUCCCUCUCUCCUCUAGAUCCUUGCUCAUGUUGUACCUACUCUCAGAUGUAUGUUUCCUUGGACAUAUGUGUCUCUUAUGAAGUUGUAAAGAUAUUGAUCAUAAUUGAGAUUUGCAUACAGCAUCCAUUUUGAAUGUAUUUGUUUCUGUCCUUUUUGUAGCCUCUUUUGAUGAAAUCCUUUUGUGCCACUUUGUCCAAUGAACCAACUCCCGAGUCCCUAGGACGUUCCUCAAAAAAGUUUAUUUUUUCCCAUAGGAAUGCAUGGGAACAAAAAAAUUGAAAAAUUUUCCAAGUGCCGACCCAAUUUUUCACCUUCCAGAAUUGUGUUAGGAGCACGUUUCAGGCCACGGGGAGUCUAUAGAACCUAAUUCUGGGGGACGUUUUUUGAAAAGUUUACUUAGGGUUAGGGUUAGAGUUAGGGUUGGGGUUAGGGUUAGGGUUAGGGUUAGAGCUAGGGUUAGGGUUAGGGUUGGAGCUAGGGUUAGGGUUGGAACUAGGGUUAGGGUUAGGGUUGGGGUUGGAGCUAGGGUUAGGGUUAGGGUUGGAGCUAGGGUUAGGGGUAGGGUUAGGGUUAGGGGUAAGGGUUGGAGCUAGGGUUAGGGUUGGAGCUAGGGUAAGGGUUAGGGUUAGGGUUGGGGUUGGAGCUAGGGUUAGGGGUAGGCUUAGGGUUAGGGUUGGAGCUAGGGUUAGGUUUAGGGUUGGGGUUGGAGCUAGGGUUAGGGUUAAGGUUGGAGCUAGGGUUAGGGUUAGGGUUGGAGCUAGGGUUAGGGUUAGGGUUGGGGUUGGAGCUAGGGUUAGGGUUAGGGUUAAGGUUGGAGCUAGGGUUAGGGUUAGGGUUAAGGUUGGAGCUAGGGUUAGGGUUAGAGCAAGGGUCAGGGUUAGGGUUAGGAUUGGAGCUAGGGUUAGGGUUAGGGUUGGGCUUGGAGCUAAGAUUUUUCUGAGUGCAAUGAACCAACUCCCGAGUCGCUAGGACGUUCCUAAAAAAAAAUUGAUUUUUUCCCAUAGGAAUGCAUGGGUUAGGGUUAGGGUUAGGGUUGGAGCUAGGGUUAGGGUUAGGGUUAGGGUUGGAGUUAGGGUUAGUGUUGGAGCUAGGGUUAGGGUUGGGCUUGGAGCUAGGAUUUUUCUGAGUGCAAUGAACCAACUCCCGAGUCUCUAGGACAUUCCUAAAAAAAUUUGAUUUUUUCCCAUAGGAAUGCAUGGGUUAGGGUUAGGGUUAGGGUUGGAGCUAGGGUUAGGGUUAGGGUUAGGGUUGGAGUUAGGGUUAGUGUUGGAGCUAGGGUUAGGGUUGGGCUUGGAGCUAGGAUUUUUCUGAGUGCAAUGAACCAACUCCCGAGUCUCUAGGACGUUCCUAAAAAAAUUUGAUUUUUUCCCAUAGUAAUGCAUGGGUUAGGGUUAGGGUUAGGGUUGGAGCUAGGGUUAGGGUUAGGGUUAGGGUUGGAGUUAGGGUUAGUGUUGGAGCUAGGGUUAGGGUUGGGCUUGGAGCUAGGAUUUUUCUGAGUGCAAUGAACCAACUCCCGAGUCUCUAGGACGUUCCUAAAAAAAUUUGAUUUUUUCCCAUAGGAAUGCAUAGGUUAGGGUUAGGGUUAGGGUUGGAGCUAGGGUUAGGGUUAGGGUUAGGGUUGGAGUUAGGGUUAGUGUUGGAGCUAGGGUUAGGGUUGGGCUUGGAGCUAGGAUUUUUCUGAGUGCAAUGAACCAACUCCCGAGUCUCUAGGACCUUCCUAAAAAAAUUUGAUUUUUUCCCAUAGGAAUGCAUGGGUUAGGGUUAGGGUUAGGGUUGGAGCUAGGGUUAGGGUUAGGGUUAGGGUUGGAAUUAGGGUUAGUGUUGGAGCUAGGGUUAGGGUUGGGCUUGGAGCUAGGAUUUUUCUGAGUGCAAUGAACCAACUCCCGAGUCGCUAGGACGUUCCUAAAAAAAUUUGAUUUUUUCCCAUAGUAAUGCAUGGGUUAGGGUUAGGGUUAGGGUUGGAGCUAGGGUUAGGGUUAGGGUUAGGGUUGGAGUUAGGGUUAGUGUUGGAGCUAGGGUUAGGGUUGGGCUUGGAGCUAGGAUUUUUCUGAGUGCAAUGAACCAACUCCCGAGUCUCUAGGACGUUCCUAAAAAAAUUUGAUUUUUUCCCAUAGGAAUGCAUGGGUUAGGGUUAGGGUUAGGGUUGGAGCUAGGGUUAGGGUUAGGGUUAGGGUUGGAGUUAGGGUUAGUGUUGGAGCUAGGGUUAGGGUUGGGCUUGGAGUUAGGAUUUUUCUGAGUGCACUGAACCAACUCCCGAGUCUCUAGGACGUUCCUAAAAAAUUUGAUUUUUUCCCAUAGGAAUGCAUGGGUUAGGGUUAGGGUUAGGGUUAGGGUUGGAGCUAGGGUUAGGGUUAGGGUUAGGGUUGGAGUUAGGGUUAGUGUUGGAGCUAGGGUUAGGGUUGGGCUUGGAGCUAGGAUUUUUCUGAGUGCAAUGAACCAACUCCCGAGUCUCUAGGACGUUCCUAAAAAAAUUUGAUUUUUUCCCAUAGUAAUGCAUGGGUUAGGGUUAGGGUUAGGGUUGGAGCUAGGGUUAGGGUUAGGGUUAGGGUUGGAGUUAGGGUUAGUGUUGGAGCUAGGGUUAGGGUUGGGCUUGGAGCUAGGAUUUUUCUGAGUGCACUGAACCAACUCCCAAGUCUCUAGGACGUUCCUAAAAAAAUUUGAUUUUUUCCCAUAGGAAUGCAUGGGUUAGGGUUAGGGUUAGGGUUGGAGCUAGGGUUAGGGUUAGGGUUAGGGUUGGAGUUUGGGUUAGUGUUGGAGCUAGGGUUAGGGUUGGGCUUGGAGCUAGGAUUUUUCGGAGUGCAAUGAACCAACUCCCGAGUCUCUAGGACGUUCCUAAAAAAAUUUGAUUUUUUCCCAUAGGAAUGCAUGGGUUAGGGUUAGGGUUAGGGUUGGAGCUAGGGUUAGGGUUAGGGUUAGGGUUGGAGUUAGGGUUAGUGUUGGAGCUAGGGUUAGGGUUGGGCUUGGAGCUAGGAUUUUUCUGAGUGCAAUGAACCAACUCCCGAGUCUCUAGGACAUUCCUAAAAAAAUUUGAUUUUUUCCCAUAGGAAUGCAUGGGUUAGGGUUAGGGUUAGGGUUAGGGUUGGAGCUAGGGUUAGGGUUAGGGUUAGGGUUGGAGUUAGGGUUAGUGUUGGAGCUAGGGUUAGGGUUGGGCUUGGAGCUAGGAUUUUUCUGAGUGCAAUGAACCAACUCCCGAGUCUCUAGGACGUUCCUAAAAAAAUUUGAUUUUUUCCCAUAGGAAUGCAUGGGUUAGGGUUAGGGUUAGGGUUGGAGCUAGGGUUAGGGUUAGGGUUAGGGUUGGAGUUAGGGUUAGUGUUGGAGCUAGGGUUAGGGUUGGGCUUGGAGCUAGGAUUUUUCUGAGUGCAAUGAACCAACUCCCAAGUCUCUAGGACGUUCCUAAAAAAAUUUGAUUUUUUCCCAUAGGAAUGCAUGGGUUAGGGUUAGGGUCAGGGUUAGGGUUGGAGCAAGGGUUAGGGUUAGGGUUAGGGUUGGAGUUAGGGUUAGUGUUGGAGCUAGGGUUAGGGUUGGGCUUGGAGCUAGGAUUUUUCUGAGUGCAAUGAACCAACUCCCGAGUCUCUAGGACGUUCCUAAAAAAAUUUGAUUUUUUUCCCAUAGGAAUGCAUGGGUUAGGGUUAGGGUUAGGGUUGGAGCUAGGGUUAGGGUUAGGGUAAGGGUUGGAGUUUGGGUUAGUGUUGGAGCUAGGGUUAGGGUUGGGCUUGGAGCUAGGAUUUUUCUGAGUGCAAUGAACCAACUCCCGAGUCUCUAGGACAUUCCUAAAAAAAUUUGAUUUUUUCCCAUAGGAAUGCAUGGGUUAGGGUUAGGGUUAGGGUUGGAGCUAGGGUUAGGGUUAGGGUUAGGGUUGGAGUUAGGGUUAGUGUUGGAGCUAGGGUUAGGGUUGGGCUUGGAGCUAGGAUUUUUCUGAGUGCAAUGAACCAACUCCCGAGUCUCUAGGACGUUCCUAAAAAAAUUUGAUUUUUUCCCAUAGGAAUGCAUGGGUUAGGGUUAGGGUUAGGGUUGGAGCUAGGGUUAGGGUUAGGGUUAGGGUUGGAGUUAGGGUUAGUGUUGGAGCUAGGGUUAGGGUUGGGCUUGGAGCUAGGAUUUUUCUGAGUGCAAUGAACCAACUCCCAAGUCUCUAGGACGUUCCUAAAAAAAUUGAUUUUUUCCCAUAGGAAUGCAUGGGUUAGGGUUAGGGUCAGGGUUAGGGUUGGAGCAAGGGUUAGGGUUAGGGUUAGGGUUGGAGUUAGGGUUAGUGUUGGAGCUAGGGUUAGGGUUGGGCUUGGAGCUAGGAUUUUUCUGAGUGCAAUGAACCAACUCCCGAGUCUCUAGGACGUUCCUAAAAAAAUUUGAUUUUUUCCCAUAGGAAUGCAUGGGUUAGGGUUAGGGUUAGGGUUAGGGUUGGAGCUAGGGUUAGGGUUAGGGUUAGGGUUGGAGUUAGGGUUAGUGUUGGAGCUAGGGUUAGGGUUGGGCUUGGAGCUAGGAUUUUUCUGAGUGCAAUGAACCAACUCCCGAGUCUCUAGGACGUUCCUAAAAAAAUUUGAUUUUUUCCCAUAGGAAUGCAUGGGUUAGGGUUAGGGUUAGGGUUGGAGCUAGGGUUAGGGUUAGGGUAAGGGUUGGAGUUUGGGUUAGUGUUGGAGCUAGGGUUAGGGUUGGGCUUGGAGCUAGGAUUUUUCUGAGUGCACUGAACCAACUCCCAAGUCUCUAGGACGUUCCUAAAAAAAUUUGAUUUUUUCCCAUAGGAAUGCAUGGGUUAGGGUUAGGGUUAGGGUUGGAGCUAGGGUUAGGGUUAGGGUUAGGGUUGGAGUUAGGGUUAGUGUUGGAGCUAGGGUUAGGGUUGGGCUUGGAGCUAGGAUUUUUCGGAGUGCAAUGAACCAACUCCCGAGUCUCUAGGACGUUCCUAAAAAAAUUUGAUUUUUUCCCAUAGGAAUGCAUGGGUUAGGGUUAGGGUUAGGGUUGGAGCUAGGGUUAGGGUUAGGGUUAGGGUUGGAGUUAGGGUUAGUGUUGGAGCUAGGGUUAGGGUUGGGCUUGGAGCUAGGAUUUUUCUGAGUGCAAUGAACCAACUCCCGAGUCUCUAGGACAUUCCUAAAAAAUUUGUUUUUUUCCCAUAGGAAUGCAUGGGUUAGGGUUAGGGUUAGGGUUGGAGCUAGGGUUAGGGUUAGGGUUGGAGUUAGGGUUAGUGUUGGAGCUAGGGUUAGGGUUGGGCUUGGAGCUAGGAUUUUUCGGAGUGCAAUGAACCAACUCCCGAGUCUCUAGGACGUUCCUAAAAAAAUUUGAUUUUUUCCCAUAGGAAUGCAUGGGUUAGGGUUAGGGUUAGGGUUGGAGCUAGGGUUAGGGUUAGGGUUAGGGUUGGAGUUAGGGUUAGUGUUGGAGCUAGGGUUAGGGUUGGGCUUGGAGCUAGGAUUUUUCUGAGUGCAAUGAACCAACUCCCGAGUCUCUAGGACAUUCCUAAAAAAAUUUGAUUUUUUCCCAUAGGAAUGCAUGGGUUAGGGUUAGGGUUAGGGUUGGAGCUAGGGUUAGGGUUAGGGUUAGGGUUGGAGUUAGGGUUAGUGUUGGAGCUAGGGUUAGGGUUGGGCUUGGAGCUAGGAUUUUUCUGAGUGCAAUGAACCAACUCCCGAGUCUCUAGGACGUUCCUAAAAAAAUUUGAUUUUUUCCCAUAGGAAUGCAUGGGUUAGGGUUAGGGUUAGGGUUGGAGCUAGGGUUAGGGUUAGGGUUAGGGUUGGAGUUAGGGUUAGUGUUGGAGCUAGGGUUAGGGUUGGGCUUGGAGCUAGGAUUUUUCUGAGUGCAAUGAACCAACUCCCAAGUCUCUAGGACGUUCCUAAAAAAAUUUGAUUUUUUCCCAUAGGAAUGCAUGGGUUAGGGUUAGGGUCAGGGUUAGGGUUGGAGCAAGGGUUAGGGUUAGGGUUAGGGUUGGAGUUAGGGUUAGUGUUGGAGCUAGGGUUAGGGUUGGGCUUGGAGCUAGGAUUUUUCUGAGUGCAAUGAACCAACUCCCGAGUCUCUAGGACGUUCCUAAAAAAAUUUGAUUUUUUCCCAUAGGAAUGCAUGGGUUAGGGUUAGGGUUAGGGUUAGGGUUGGAGCUAGGGUUAGGGUUAGGGUUAGGGUUGGAGUAAGGGUUAGUGUUGGAGCUAGGGUUAGGGUUGGGCUUGGAGCUAGGAUUUUUCUGAGUGCAAUGAACCAACUCCCGAGUCUCUAGGACGUUCCUAAAAAAAUUUGAUUUUUUCCCAUAGGAAUGCAUGGGUUAGGGUUAGGGUUAGGGUUGGAGCUAGGGUUAGGGUUAGGGUAAGGGUUGGAGUUUGGGUUAGUGUUGGAGCUAGGGUUAGGGUUGGGCUUGGAGCUAGGAUUUUUCUGAGUGCACUGAACCAACUCCCAAGUCUCUAGGACGUUCCUAAAAAAUUUGAUUUUUUCCCAUAGGAAUGCAUGGGUUAGGGUUAGGGUUAGGGUUGGAGCUAGGGUUAGGGUUAGGGUUAGGGUUGGAGUUUGGGUUAGUGUUGGAGCUAGGGUUAGGGUUGGGCUUGGAGCUAGGAUUUUUCGGAGUGCAAUGAACCAACUCCCGAGUCUCUAGGACGUUCCUAAAAAAAUUUGAUUUUUUCCCAUAGGAAUGCAUGGGUUAGGGUUAGGGUUAGGGUUGGAGCUAGGGUUAGGGUUAGGGUUAGGGUUGGAGUUAGGGUUAGUGUUGGAGCUAGGGUUAGGGUUGGGCUUGGAGCUAGGAUUUUUCUGAGUGCAAUGAACCAACUCCCGAGUCUCUAGGACAUUCCUAAAAAAAUUGAUUUUUUCCCAUAGGAAUGCAUGGGUUAGGGUUAGGGUUAGGGUUGGAGCUAGGGUUAGGGUUAGGGUUAGGGUUGGAGUUAGGGUUAGUGUUGGAGCUAGGGUUAGGGUUGGGCUUGGAGCUAGGAUUUUUCGGAGUGCAAUGAACCAACUCCCGAGUCUCUAGGACGUUCCUAAAAAAUUUUUAUUUUUUCCCAUAGGAAUGCAUGGGUUAGGGUUAGGGUUAGGGUUGGAGCUAGGGUUAGGGUUAGGGUUAGGGUUGGAGUUAGGGUUAGUGUUGGAGCUAGGGUUAGGGUUGGGCUUGGAGCUAGGAUUUUUCUGAGUGCAAUGAACCAACUCCCGAGUCUCUAGGACGUUCCUAAAAAAAUUAGAUUUUUUACCAUAGGAAUGCAUGGGUUAGGGUUAGGGUUAGGGUUGGAGCUAGGGUUAGGGUUAGGGUUAGGGUUGGAGUUAGGGUUAGUGUUGGAGCUAGGGUUAGGGUUGGGCUUGGAGCUAGGAUUUUUCUGAGUGCAAUGAACCAACUCCCGAGUCUCUAGGACGUUCCUAAAAAAAUUUGAUUUUUUCCCAUAGGAAUGCAUGGGUUAGGGUUAGGGUUAGGGUUGGAGCUAGAGUUAGGGUUAGGGUUAGGGUUGGAGUUAGGGUUAGUGUUGGAGCUAGGGUUAGGGUUGGGCUUGGAGCUAGGAUUUUUCUGAGUGCACUGAACCAACUCCCGAGUCUCUAGGACGUUCCUAAAAAAAUUUGAUUUUUUCCCAUAGGAAUGCAUGGGUUAGGGUUAGGGUUAGGGUUGGAGCUAGGGUUAGGGUUAGGGUUAGGGUUGGAGUUAGGGUUAGUGUUGGAGUUAGGGUUAGGGUUGGGCUUGGAGCUAGGAUUUUUCUGAGUGCACUGAACCAACUCCCGAGUCUCUAGGACGUUCCUAAAAAAAUUUGAUUUUUUCCCAUAGGAAUGCAUGGGUUAGGGUUAGGGUCAGGGUUAGGGUUGGAGCUAGGGUUAGGGUUAGGGUUAGGGUUGGAGUUAGGGUUAGUGUUGGAGCUAGGGUUAGGGUUGGGCUUGGAGCUAGGAUUUUUCUGAGUGCAAUGAACCAACUCCCGAGUCUCUAGGACGUUCCUAAAAAAAUUUGAUUUUUUCCCAUAGGAAUGCAUGGGUUAGGGUUAGGGUUAGGGUUAGGGUUGGAGCUAGGGUUAGGGUUAGGGUUAGGGUUGGAGUUAGGGUUAGUGUUGGAGCUAGGGUUAGGGUUGGGCUUGGAGCUAGGAUUUUUCUGAGUGCACUGAACCAACUCCCGAGUCUCUAGGACGUUCCUAAAAAAAUUAGAUUUUUUCCCAUAGGAAUGCAUGGGUUAGGGUUAGGGUUAGGGUUGGAGCUAGGGUUAGGGUUAGGGUUAGGGUUGGAGUUAGGGUUAGUGUUGGAGCUAGGGUUAGGGUUGGGCUUGGAGCUAGGAUUUUUCUGAGUGCACUGAACCAACUCCCGAGUCUCUAGGACGUUCCUAAAAAAAUUUGAUUUUUUCCCAUAGGAAUGCAUGGGUUAGGGUUAGGGUUAGGGUUAGGGUUGGAGCUAGGGUUAGGGUUAGGGUUGGAGUUAGGGUUAGUGUUGGAGCUAGGGUUAGGGUUGGGCUUGGAGCUAGGAUUUUUCUGAGUGCAAUGAACCAACUCCCGAGUCUCUAGGACGUUCCUAAAAAAAUUUGAUUUUUUCCCAUAGGAAUGCAUGGGUUAGGGUUAGGGUUAGGGUUGGAGCUAGGGUUAGGGUUGGGCUUGGAGCUAGGAUUUUUCUGAGUGCAAUGAACCAACUCCCGAGUCUCUAGGACGUUCCUAAAAAAAUUUGAUUUUUUCCCAUAGGAAUGCAUGGGUUAGGGUUAGGGUUAGGGUUGGAGCUAGGGUUAGGGUUAGGGUUAGGGUUGGAGUUAGGGUUAGUGUUGGAGCUAGGGUUAGGGUUGGGCUUGGAGCUAGGAUUUUUCUGAGUGCAAUGAACCAACUCCCGAGUCUCUAGGACGUUCCUAAAAAAAUUUGAUUUUUUCCCAUAGGAAUGCAUGGGUUAGGGUUAGGGUCAGGGUUAGGGUUGGAGCUAGGGUUAGGGUUAGGGUUAGGGUUGGAGUUAGGGUUAGUGUUGGAGCUAGGGUUAGGGUUGGGCUUGGAGCUAGGAUUUUUCUGAGUGCAAUGAACCAACUCCCGAGUCUCUAGGACGUUCCUAAAAAAAUUUGAUUUUUUCCCAUAGGAAUGCAUGGGUUAGGGUUAGGGUUAGGGUUGGAGCUAGGGUUAGGGUUAGGGUUAGGGUUGGAGUUAGGGUUAGUGUUGGAGCUAGGGUUAGGGUUGGGCUUGGAGCUAGGAUUUUUCUGAGUGCACUGAACCAACUCCCGAGUCUCUAGGACGUUCCUAAAAAAAUUUGAUUUUUUCCCAUAGGAAUGCAUGGGUUAGGGUUAGGGUUAGGGUUGGAGCUAGGGUUAGGGUUAGGGUUAGGGUUGGAGUUAGGGUUAGUGUUGGAGCUAGGGUUAGGGUUGGGCUUGGAGCUAGGAUUUUUCUGAGUGCACUGAACCAACUCCCGAGUCUCUAGGACGUUCCUAAAAAAAUUUGAUUUUUUCCCAUAGGAAUGCAUGGGUUAGGGUUAGGGUUAGGGUUGGAGCUAGGGUUAGGGUUAGGGUUAGGGUUAGGGUUGGAGUUAGGGUUAGUGUUGGAGCUAGGGUUAGGGUUGGGCUUGGAGCUAGGAUUUUUCUGAGUGCACUGAACCAACUCCCAAGUCUCUAGGACGUUCCUAAAAAAAUUUGAUUUUUUCCCAUAGGAAUGCAUGGGUUAGGGUUAGGGUUAGGGUUGGAGCUAGGGUUAGGGUUAGGGUUAGGGUUGGAGUUAGGGUUAGUGUUGGAGCUAGGGUUAGGGUUGGGCUUGGAGCUAGGAUUUUUCGGAGUGCAAUGAACCAACUCCCGAGUCUCUAGGACGUUCCUAAAAAAAUUUGAUUUUUUCCCAUAGGAAUGCAUGGGUUAGGGUUAGGGUUAGGGUUGGAGCUAGGGUUAGGGUUAGGGUUAGGGUUGGAGUUAGGGUUAGUGUUGGAGCUAGGGUUAGGGUUGGGCUUGGAGCUAGGAUUUUUCUGAGUGCAAUGAACCAACUCCCGAGUCUCUAGGACGUUCCUAAAAAAAUUUGAUUUUUUCCCAUAGGAAUGCAUGGGUUAGGGUUAGGGUUAGGGUUGGAGCUAGGGUUAGGGUUAGGGUUAGGGUUGGAAUUAGGGUUAGUGUUGGAGCUAGGGUUAGGGUUGGGCUUGGAGCUAGGAUUUUUCGGAGUGCAAUGAACCAACUCCCGAGUCUCUAGGACGUUCCUAAAAAAAUUUGAUUUUUUCCCAUAGUAAUGCAUGGGUUAGGGUUAGGGUUAGGGUUGGAGCUAGGGUUAGGGUUAGGGUUAGGGUUGGAGUUAGGGUUAGUGUUGGAGCUAGGGUUAGGGUUGGGCUUGGAGCUAGGAUUUUUCUGAGUGCAAUGAACCAACUCCUGAGUCUCUAGGACGUUCCUAAAAAAAUUUGAUUUUUUCCCAUAGGAAUGCAUGGGUUAGGGUUAGGGUUAGGGUUUGAGCUAGGGUUAGGGUUAGGGUUAGGGUUGGAGUUAGGGUUAGUGUUGGAGCUAGGGUUAGGGUUGGGCUUGGAGCUAGGAUUUUUCUGAGUGCACUGAACCAACUCCCGAGUCUAUAGGACGUUCCUAAAUAAAUUUGAUUUUUUCCCAUAGGAACGCAUGGGUUAGGGUUAGGGUUAGGGUUGGAGCUAGGGUUAGGGUUAGGGUUAGGAUUGGAGUUAGGGUUAGUGUUGGAGCUAGGGUUAGGGUUGGGCUUGGAGCUAGGAUUUUUCUGAGUGCACUGAACCAACUCCCGAGUCUCUAGGACGUUCCUAAAAAAAUUUGAUUUUUUCCCAUAGGAAUGCAUGGGUUAGGGUUAGGGUUAGGGUUGGAGCUAGGGUUAGGGUUAGGGUUGGAGUUAGGGUUAGUGUUGGAGCUAGGGUUAGGGUUGGGCUUGGAGCUAGGAUUUUUCUGAGUGCACUGAACCAACUCCCGAGUCUCUAGGACGUUCCUAAAAAAAUUUGAUUUUUUCCCAUAGGAAUGCAUGGGUUAGGGUUAGGGUUAGGGUUGGAGCUAGGGUUAGGGUUAGGGUUAGGGUUGGAGUUAGGGUUAGUGUUGGAGCUAGGGUUAGGGUUGGGCUUGGAGCUAGGAUUUUUCUGAGUGCACUGAACCAACUCCCGAGUCUCUAGGACGUUCCUAAAAAAAUUUGAUUUUUUCCCAUAGGAAUGCAUGGGUUAGGGUUAGGGUUAGGGUUAGGGUUGGAGCUAGGGUUAGGGUUAGGGUUAGGGUUGGAGUUAGGGUUAGUGUUGGAGCUAGGGUUAGGGUUGGGCUUGGAGCUAGGAUUUUUCUGAGUGCAAUGAACCAACUCCCGAGUCUCUAGGACGUUCCUAAAAAAAUUUGAUUUUUUCCCAUAGGAAUGCAUGGGUUAGGGUUAGGGUUAGGGUUGGAGCUAGGGUUAGGGUUAGGGUUAGGGUUGGAAUUAGGGUUAGUGUUGGAGCUAGGGUUAGGGUUGGGCUUGGAGCUAGGAUUUUUCUGAGUGCAAUGAACCAACUCCCGAGUCUCUAGGACGUUCCUAAAAAAAUUUGAUUUUUUCCCAUAGGAAUGCAUGGGUUAGGGUUAGGGUUAGGGUUGGAGCUAGGGUUAGGGUUAGGGUUAGGGUUGGAAUUAGGGUUAGUGUUGGAGCUAGGGUUAGGGUUGGGCUUGGAGCUAGGAUUUUUCUGAGUGCAAUGAACCAACUCCCGAGUCUCUAGGACGUUCCUAAAAAAAUUUGAUUUUUUCCCAUAGUAAUGCAUGGGUUAGGGUUAGGGUUAGGGUUGGAGCUAGGGUUAGGGUUAGGGUUAGGGUUGGAGUUAGGGUUAGUGUUGGAGCUAGGGUUAGGGUUGGGCUUGGAGCUAGGAUUUUUCUGAGUGCAAUGAACCAACUCCCGAGUCUCUAGGACGUUCCUAAAAAAAUUUGAUUUUUUCCCAUAGGAAUGCAUGGGUUAGGGUUAGGGUUAGGGUUGGAGCUAGGGUUAGGGUUAGGGUUAGGGUUGGAGUUAGGGUUAGUGUUGGAGCUAGGGUUAGGGUUGGGCUUGGAGCUAGGAUUUUUCUGAGUGCAAUGAACCAACUCCCGAGUCUCUAGGACGUUCCUAAAAUUUUUUUAUUUUUUCCCAUAGGAAUGCAUGGGUUAGGGUUAGGGUUAGGGUUGGAGCUAGGGUUAGGGUUAGGGUUAGGGUUGGAGUUAGGGUUAGUGUUGGAGCUAGGGUUAGGGUUGGGCUUGUAGCUAGGAUUUUUCUGAGUGCAAUGAACCAACUCCCGAGUCUCUAGGACAUUCCUAAAAAAAUUGAUUUUUUCCCAUAGGAAUGCAUGGGUUAGGGUUAGGGUUAGGGUUGGAGCUAGGGUUAGGGUUAGGGUUAGGGUUGGAGUUAGGGUUAGUGUUGGAGCUAGGGUUAGGGUUGGGCUUGGAGCUAGGAUUUUUCUGAGUGCAAUGAACCAACUCCCGAGUCUCUAGGACGUUCCUAAAAAAAUUUGAUUUUUUCCCAUAGUAAUGCAUGGGUUAGGGUUAGGGUUAGGGUUGGAGCUAGGGUUAGGGUUAGGGUUAGGGUUGGAGUUAGGGUUAGUGUUGGAGCUAGGGUUAGGGUUGGGCUUGGAGCUAGGAUUUUUCUGAGUGCAAUGAACCAACUCCCGAGUCUCUAGGACGUUCCUAAAAAAAUUUGAUUUUUUCCCAUAGGAAUGCAUGGGUUAGGGUUAGGGUUAGGGUUGGAGCUAGGGUUAGGGUUAGGGUUAGGGUUGGAGUUAGGGUUAGUGUUGGAGCUAGGGUUAGGGUUGGGCUUGGAGCUAGGAUUUUUCUGAGUGCACUGAACCAACUCCCGAGUCUCUAGGACGUUCCUAAAAAAAUUAGAUUUUUUCCCAUAGGAAUGCAUGGGUUAGGGUUAGGGUUAGGGUUAGGGUUGGAGCUAGGGUUAGGGUUAGGGUUAGGGUUGGAGUUAGGGUUAGUGUUGGAGCUAGGGUUAGGGUUGGGCUUGGAGCUAGGAUUUUUCUGAGUGCAAUGAACCAACUCCCGAGUCUCUAGGACAUUCCUAAAAAAAUUUGAUUUUUUCCCAUAGGAAUGCAUGGGUUAGGGUUAGGGUUAGGGUUGGAGCUAGGGUUAGGGUUAGGGUUAGGGUUGGAAUUAGGGUUAGUGUUGGAGCUAGGGUUAGGGUUGGGCUUGGAGCUAGGAUUUUUCGGAGUGCAAUGAACCAACUCCCGAGUCUCUAGGACGUUCCUAAAAAAAUUUGAUUUUUUCCCAUAGUAAUGCAUGGGUUAGGGUUAGGGUUAGGGUUGGAGCUAGGGUUAGGGUUAGGGUUAGGGUUGGAGUUAGGGUUAGUUUUGGAGCUAGGGUUAGGGUUGGGCUUGGAGCUAGGAUUUUUCUGAGUGCAAUGAACCAACUCCUGAGUCUCUAGGACGUUCCUAAAAAAAUUGAUUUUUUCCCAUAGGAAUGCAUGGGUUAGGGUUAGGGUUAGGGUUUGAGCUAGGGUUAGGGUUAGGGUUAGGGUUGGAGUUAGGGUUAGUGUUGGAGCUAGGGUUAGGGUUGGGCUUGGAGCUAGGAUUUUUCUGAGUGCAAUGAACCAACUCCCGAGUCUCUAGGACGUUCCUAAAAAAAUUUGAUUUUUUCCCAUAGGAAUGCAUGGGUUAGGGUUAGGGUUAGGGUUGGAGCUAGGGUUAGGGUUAGGGUUAGGAUUGGAGUUAGGGUUAGUGUUGGAGCUAGGGUUAGGGUUGGGCUUGGAGCUAGGAUUUUUCUGAGUGCAAUGAACCAACUCCCGAGUCUCUAGGACGUUCCUAAAAAAAUUUGAUUUUUUCCCAUAGGAAUGCAUGGGUUAGGGUUAGGGUUAGGGUUGGAGCUAGGGUUAGGGUUAGGGUUAGGAUUAGGGUUAGUGUUGGAGCUAGGGUUAGGGUUGGGCUUGGAGCUAGGAUUUUUCUGAGUGCACUGAACCAACUCCCGAGUCUCUAGGACGUUCCUAAAAAAAUUAGAUUUUUUCCCAUAGGAAUGCAUGGGUUAGGGUUAGGGUUAGGGUUAGGGUUGGAGCUAGGGUUAGGGUUAGGGUUAGGGUUGGAGUUAGGGUUAGUGUUGGAGCUAGGGUUAGGGUUGGGCUUGGAGCUAGGAUUUUUCUGAGUGCAAUGAACCAACUCCCGAGUCUCUAGGACAUUCCUAAAAAAAUUUGAUUUUUUCCCAUAGGAAUGCAUGGGUUAGGGUUAGGGUUAGGGUUGGAGCUAGGGUUAGGGUUAGGGUUAGGGUUGGAGUUAGGGUUAGUGUUGGAGCUAGGGUUAGGGUUGGGCUUGGAGCUAGGAUUUUUCUGAGUGCAAUGAACCAACUCCCGAGUCUCUAGGACGUUCCUAAAAAAAAUUGAUUUUUUCCCAUAGGAAUGCAUGGGUUAGGGUUAGGGUUAGGGUUUGAGCUAGGGUUAGGGUUAGGGUUAGGGUUGGAGUUAGGGUUAGUGUUGGAGCUAGGGUUAGGGUUGGGCUUGGAGCUAGGAUUUUUCUGAGUGCAAUGAACCAACUCCCGAGUCUCUAGGACGUUCCUAAAAAAAAUUUGAUUUUUUCCCAUAGGAAUGCAUGGGUUAGGGUUAGGGUUAGGGUUGGAGCUAGGGUUAGGGUUAGGGUUAGGGUUGGAGUUAGGGUUAGUGUUGGAGCUAGGGUUAGGGUUGGGCUUGGAGCUAGGAUUUUUCUGAGUGCACUGAACCAACUCCCGAGUCUAUAGGACGUUCCUAAAAAAAUUUGAUUUUUUCCCAUAGGAACGCAUGGGUUAGGGUUAGGGUUAGGGUUGGAGCUAGGGUUAGGGUUAGGGUUAGGAUUGGAGUUAGGGUUAGUGUUGGAGCUAGGGUUAGGGUUGGGCUUGGAGCUAGGAUUUUUCUGAGUGCACUGAACCAACUCCCGAGUCUCUAGGACGUUCCUAAAAAAAUUUUGAUUUUUUCCCAUAGGAAUGCAUGGGUUAGGGUUAGGGUUAGGGUUGGAGCUAGGGUUAGGGUUAGGGUUGGAGUUAGGGUUAGUGUUGGAGCUAGGGUUAGGGUUGGGCUUGGAGCUAGGAUUUUUCUGAGUGCACUGAACCAACUCCCGAGUCUCUAGGACGUUCCUAAAAAUUUGAUUUUUUCCCAUAGGAAUGCAUGGGUUAGGGUUAGGGUUAGGGUUGGAGCUAGGGUUAGGGUUAGGGUUAGGGUUGGAGUUAGGGUUAGUGUUGGAGCUAGGGUUAGGGUUGGGCUUGGAGCUAGGAUUUUUCUGAGUGCAAUGAACCAACUCCCGAGUCUCUAGGACGUUCCUAAAAAAAUUUGAUUUUUUCCCAUAGGAAUGCAUGGGUUAGGGUUAGGGUUAGGGUUAGGGUUGGAGCUAGGGUUAGGGUUAGGGUUAGGGUUGGAGUUAGGGUUAGUGUUGGAGCUAGGGUUAGGGUUGGGCUUGGAGCUAGGAUUUUUCUGAGUGCAAUGAACCAACUCCCGAGUCUCUAGGACGUUCCUAAAAAAAUUUGAUUUUUUCCCAUAGGAAUGCAUGGGUUAGGGUUAGGGUUAGGGUUGGAGCUAGGGUUAGGGUUAGGGUUGGAGCUAGGGUUAGGGUUAGGGUUAGGGUUGGAGUUAGGGUUAGUGUUGGAGCUAGGGUUAGGGUUGGGCUUGGAGCUAGGAUUUUUCUGAGUGCAAUGAACCAACUCCCGAGUCUCUAGGACGUUCCUAAAAAAAUUUGAUUUUUUCCCAUAGGAAUGCAUGGGUUAGGGUUAGGGUUAGGGUUGGAGCUAGGGUUAGGGUUAGGGUUAGGGUUAGUGUUGGAGCUAGGGUUAGGGUUGGGCUUGGAGCUAGGAUUUUUCUGAGUGCAAUGAACCAACUCCCGAGUCUCUAGGACGUUCCUAAAAAAAUUUGAUUUUUUCCCAUAGGAAUGCAUGGGUUAGGGUUAGGGUUAGGGUUGGAGCUAGGGUUAGGGUUAGGGUUAGGGUUGGAGUUAGGGUUAGUGUUGGAGCUAGGGUUAGGGUUGGGCUUGGAGCUAGGAUUUUUCUGAGUGCAAUGAACCAACUCCCGAGUCUCUAGGACGUUCCUAAAAUUUUUUUAUUUUUUCCCAUAGGAAUGCAUGGGUUAGGGUUAGGGUUAGGGUUGGAGCUAGGGUUAGGGUUAGGGUUAGGGUUGGAGUUAGGGUUAGUGUUGGAGCUAGGGUUAGGGUUGGGCUUGGAGCUAGGAUUUUUCUGAGUGCAAUGAACCAACUCCCGAGUCUCUAGGACGUUCCUAAAAAAAUUUGAUUUUUUCCCAUAGGAAUGCAUGGGUUAGGGUUAGGGUUAGGGUUGGAGCUAGGGUUAGGGUUAGGGUUAGGGUUGGAGUUAGGGUUAGUGUUGGAGCUAGGGUUAGGGUUGGGCUUGGAGCUAGGAUUUUUCUGAGUGCACUGAACCAACUCCCGAGUCUCUAGGACGUUCCUAAAAAAAUUUGAUUUUUUCCCAUAGGAAUGCAUGGGUUAGGGUUAGGGUUAGGGUUGGAGCUAGGGUUAGGGUUAGGGUUGGAGUUAGGGUUAGUGUUGGAGCUAGGGUUAGGGUUGGGCUUGGAGCUAGGAUUUUUCUGAGUGCACUGAACCAACUCCCGAGUCUCUAGGACGUUCCUAAAAAAAUUUGAUUUUUUCCCAUAGGAAUGCAUGGGUUAGGGUUAGGGUUAGGGUUAGGGUUGGAGCUAGGGUUAGGGUUAGGGUUAGGGUUGGAGUUAGGGUUAGUGUUGGAGCUAGGGUUAGGGUUGGGCUUGGAGCUAGGAUUUUUCUGAGUGCAAUGAACCAACUCCCGAGUCUCUAGGACGUUCCUAAAAAAAUUUGAUUUUUUCCCAUAGGAAUGCAUGGGUUAGGGUUAGGGUUAGGGUUGGAGCUAGGGUUAGGGUUAGGGUUAGGGUUAGGGUUAGGGUUAGGGUUGGAAUUAGGGUUAGUGUUGGAGCUAGGGUUAGGGUUGGGCUUGGAGCUAGGAUUUUUCUGAGUGCAAUGAACCAACUCCCGAGUCUCUAGGACGUUCCUAAAAAAAUUUGAUUUUUUCCCAUAGGAAUGCAUGGGUUAGGGUUAGGGUUAGGGUUGGAGCUAGGGUUAGGGUUAGGGUUAGGGUUAGUGUUGGAGCUAGGGUUAGGGUUGGGCUUGGAGCUAGGAUUUUUCUGAGUGCACUGAACCAACUCCCGAGUCUCUAGGACGUUCCUAAAAAAAUUUGAUUUUUUCCCAUAGGAAUGCAUGGGUUAGGGUUAGGGUUAGGGUUGGAGCUAGGGUUAGGGUUAGGGUUAGGGUUGGAGUUAGGGUUAGUGUUGGAGCUAGGGUUAGGGUUGGGCUUGGAGCUAGGAUUUUUCUGAGUGCAAUGAACCAACUCCCGAGUCUCUAGGACGUUCCUAAAAUUUUUUAUUUUUUCCCAUAGGAAUGCAUGGGUUAGGGUUAGGGUUAGGGUUGGAGCUAGGGUUAGGGUUAGGGUUAGGGUUGGAGUUAGGGUUAGUGUUGGAGCUAGGGUUAGGGUUGGGCUUGGAGCUAGGAUUUUUCUGAGUGCACUGAACCAACUCCCGAGUCUAUAGGACGUUCCUAAAAAAAUUUGAUUUUUUCCCAUAGGAACGCAUGGGUUAGGGUUAGGGUUAGGGUUGGAGCUAGGGUUAGGGUUAGGGUUAGGAUUGGAGUUAGGGUUAGUGUUGGAGCUAGGGUUAGGGUUGGGCUUGGAGCUAGGAUUUUUCUGAGUGCACUGAACCAACUCCCGAGUCUCUAGGACGUUCCUAAAAAAAUUUGAUUUUUUCCCAUAGGAAUGCAUGGGUUAGGGUUAGGGUUAGGGUUGGAGCUAGGGUUAGGGUUAGGGUUGGAGUUAGGGUUAGUGUUGGAGCUAGGGUUAGGGUUGGGCUUGGAGCUAGGAUUUUUCUGAGUGCACUGAACCAACUCCCGAGUCUCUAGGACGUUCCUAAAAAAAUUUGAUUUUUUCCCAUAGGAAUGCAUGGGUUAGGGUUAGGGUUAGGGUUGGAGCUAGGGUUAGGGUUAGGGUUGGAGUUAGGGUUAGUGUUGGAGCUAGGGUUAGGGUUGGGCUUGGAGCUAGGAUUUUUCUGAGUGCACUGAACCAACUCCCGAGUCUCUAGGACGUUCCUAAAAAAAUUUGAUUUUUUCCCAUAGGAAUGCAUGGGUUAGGGUUAGGGUUAGGGUUGGAGCUAGGGUUAGGGUUAGGGUUAGGGUUGGAGUUAGGGUUAGUGUUGGAGCUAGGGUUAGGGUUGGGCUUGGAGCUAGGAUUUUUCUGAGUGCAAUGAACCAACUCCCGAGUCUCUAGGACGUUCCUAAAAAAAUUUGAUUUUUUCCCAUAGGAAUGCAUGGGUUAGGGUUAGGGUUAGGGUUGGAGCUAGGGUUAGGGUUAGGGUUAGGGUUGGAGUUACGGUUAGUGUUGUAGCUAGGGUUAGGGUUGGGCUUGGAGCUAGGAUUUUUCUGAGUGCACUGAACCAACUCCCGAGUCUCUAGGACGUUCCUAAAAAAAUUUGAUUUUUUCCCAUAGGAAUGCAUGGGUUAGGGUUAGGGUUAGGGUUAGGGUUGGAGCUAGGGUUAGGGUUAGGGUUAGGGUUGGAGUUAGGGUUAGUGUUGGAGCUAGGGUUAGGGUUGGGCUUGGAGCUAGGAUUUUUCUGAGUGCAAUGAACCAACUCCCGAGUCUCUAGGACGUUCCUAAAAAAAUUUGAUUUUUUCCCAUAGGAAUGCAUGGGUUAGGGUUAGGGUUAGGGUUAGGGUUGGAGCUAGGGUUAGGGUUAGGGUUAGGGUUGGAGUUAGGGUUAGUGUUGGAGCUAGGGUUAGGGUUGGGCUUGGAGCUAGGAUUUUUCUGAGUGCACUGAACCAACUCCCGAGUCUCUAGGACGUUCCUAAAAAAAUUUGAUUUUUUCCCAUAGGAAUGCAUGGGUUAGGGUUAGGGUUAGGGUUGGAGCUAGGGUUAGGGUUAGGGUUAGGGUUGGAAUUAGGGUUAGUGUUGGAGCUAGGGUUAGGGUUGGGCUUGGAGCUAGGAUUUUUCUGAGUGCAAUGAACCAACUCCCGAGUCUCUAGGACGUUCCUAAAAAAAUUUGAUUUUUUCCCAUAGGAAUGCAUGGGUUAGGGUUAGGGUUAGGGUUGGAGCUAGGGUUAGGGUUAGGGUUAGGGUUGGAAUUAGGGUUAGUGUUGGAGCUAGGGUUAGGGUUGGGCUUGGAGCUAGGAUUUUUCUGAGUGCAAUGAACCAACUCCCGAGUCUCUAGGACGUUCCUAAAAAAAUUUGAUUUUUUCCCAUAGUAAUGCAUGGGUUAGGGUUAGGGUUAGGGUUGGAGCUAGGGUUAGGGUUAGGGUUAGGGUUGGAGUUAGGGUUAGUGUUGGAGCUAGGGUUAGGGUUGGGCUUGGAGCUAGGAUUUUUCUGAGUGCAAUGAACCAACUCCCGAGUCUCUAGGACGUUCCUAAAAAAAUUUGAUUUUUUCCCAUAGGAAUGCAUGGGUUAGGGUUAGGGUUAGGGUUAGGGUUAGGGUUAGGGUUAGGGUUGGAGUUAGGGUUAGUGUUGGAGCUAGGGUUAGGGUUGGGCUUGGAGCUAGGAUUUUUCUGAGUGCAAUGAACCAACUCCCGAGUCUCUAGGACGUUCCCAAAAAAAUUGAUUUUUUCCCAUAGGAAUGCAUGGGUUAGGGUUAGGGUUAGGGUUAGGGUUGGAGCUAGGGUUAGGGUUAGGGUUAGGGUUGGAGUUAGGGUUAGUGUUGGAGCUAGGGUUAGGGUUGGGCUUGGAGCUAGGAUUUUUCUGAGUGCAAUGAACCAACUCCUGAGUCUCUAGGACGUUCCUAAAAAAAUUUGAUUUUUUCCCAUAGGAAUGCAUGGGUUAGGGUUAGGGUUAGGGUUGGAGCUAGGGUUAGGGUUAGGGUUAGGGUUGGAGUUAGGGUUAGUGUUGGAGCUAGGGUUAGGGUUGGGCUUGGAGCUAGGAUUUUUCUGAGUGCAAUGAACCAACUCCCGAGUCUCUAGGACGUUCCUAAAAAAAUUUGAUUUUUUCCCAUAGGAUUGCAUGGGUUAGGGUUAGGGUUAGGGUUAGGGUUGGAGCUAGGGUUAGGGUUAGGGUUAGGGUUGGAGUUAGGGUUAGUGUUGGAGCUAGGGUUAGGGUUGGGCUUGGAGCUAGGAUUUUUCGGAGUGCAAUGAACCAACUCCCGAGUCUCUAGGACGUUCCUAAAAAAAUUUGAUUUUUUCCCAUAGGAAUGCAUGGGUUAGGGUUAGGGUUAGGGUUGGAGCUAGGGUUAGGGUUAGGGUUAGGGUUGGAGUUGGAGCUAGGGUUAGGGUUGGGCUUGGAGCUAGGAUUUUUCUGAGUGCAAUGAACCAACUCCCGAGUCUCUAGGACGUUCCUAAAAAAAUUUGAUUUUUUCCCAUAGGAAUGCAUGGGUUAGGGUUAGGGUUAGGGUUUGAGCUAGGGUUAGGGUUAGGGUUAGGGUUGGAGUUAGGGUUAGUGUUGGAGCUAGGGUUAGGGUUGGGCUUGGAGCUAGGAUUUUUCUGAGUGCACUGAACCAACUCCCGAGUCUCUAGGACGUUCCUAAAAAAAUUUGAUUUUUUCCCAUAGGAAUGCAUGGGUUAGGGUUAGGGUUAGGGUUAGGGUUGGAGCUAGGGUUAGGGUUAGGGUUAGGGUUAGGGUUGGAGUUAGGGUUAGUGUUGGAGCUAGGGUUAGGGUUGGGCUUGGAGCUAGGAUUUUUCGGAGUGCAAUGAACCAACUCCCGAGUCUCUAGGACGUUCCUAAAAAUUUUUUAUUUUUUCCCAUAGGAAUGCAUGGGUUAGGGUUAGGGUUAGGGUUGGAGCUAGGGUUAGGGUUAGGGUUAGGGUUGGAGUUAGGGUUAGUGUUGGAGCUAGGGUUAGGGUUGGGCUUGGAGCUAGGAUUUUUCUGAGUGCAAUGAACCAACUCCGAGUCUCUAGGACAUUCCUAAAAAAAUUUGAUUUUUUUCCCAUAGGAAUGCAUGGGUUAGGGUUAGGGUUAGGGUUGGAGCUAGGGUUAGGGUUAGGGUUAGGGUUGGAGUUAGGGUUAGUGUUGGAGCUAGGGUUAGGGUUGGGCUUGGAGCUAGGAUUUUUCUGAGUGCAAUGAACCAACUCCCGAGUCUCUAGGACGUUCCUAAAAAAAUUUGAUUUUUUCCCAUAGGAAUGCAUGGGUUAGGGUUAGGGUUAGGGUUUGAGCUAGGGUUAGGGUUAGGGUUAGGGUUGGAGUUAGGGUUAGUGUUGGAGCUAGGGUUAGGGUUGGGCUUGGAGCUAGGAUUUUUCUGAGUGCACUGAACCAACUCCCGAGUCUCUAGGACGUUCCUAAAAAAAUUUGAUUUUUUCCCAUAGGAAUGCAUGGGUUAGGGUUAGGGUUAGGGUUAGGGUUGGAGCUAGGGUUAGGGUUAGGGUUAGGGUUGGAGUUAGGGUUAGUGUUGGAGCUAGGGUUAGGGUUGGGCUUGGAGCUAGGAUUUUUCGGAGUGCAAUGAACCAACUCCCGAGUCUCUAGGACGUUCCUAAAAAAUUUUUAUUUUUUCCCAUAGGAAUGCAUGGGUUAGGGUUAGGGUUAGGAUUGGAGCUAGGGUUAGGGUUAGGGUUAGGGUUGGAGUUGGAGCUAGGGUUAGGGUUGGGCUUGGAGCUAGGAUUUUUCUGAGUGCAAUGAACCAACUCCCGAGUCUCUAGGACGUUCCCAAAAAAAUUUGAUUUUUUCCCAUAGGAAUGCAUGGGUUAGGGUUAGGGUUAGGGUUGGAGCUAGGGUUAGGGUUAGGGUUAGGGUUGGAGUUAGGGUUAGUGUUGGAGCUAGGGUUAGGGUUGGGCUUGGAGCUAGGAUUUUUCUGAGUGCAAUGAACCAACUCCCGAGUCUCUAGGACGUUCCUAAAAAAAUUUGAUUUUUUCCCAUAGGAAUGCAUGGGUUAGGGUUAGGGUUAGGGUUUGAGCUAGGGUUAGGGUUAGGGUUAGGGUUGGCGUUAGGGUUAGUGUUGGAGCUAGGGUUAGGGUUGGGCUUGGAGCUAGGAUUUUUCUGAGUGCACUGAACCAACUCCCGAGUCUCUAGGACGUUCCUAAAAAAAUUUGAUUUUUUCCCAUAGGAAUGCAUGGGUUAGGGUUAGGGUUAGGGUUGGAGCUAGGGUUAGGGUUAGGGUUAGGGUUGGAGUUAGGGUUAGUGUUGGAGCUAGGGUUAGGGUUGGGCUUGGAGCUAGGAUUUUUCUGAGUGCACUGAACCAACUCCCGAGUCUCUAGGACGUUCCUAAAAAAAUUUGAUUUUUCCCAUAGGAAUGCAUGGGUUAGGGUUAGGGUUAGGGUUAGGGUUGGAGCUAGGGUUAGGGUUAGGGUUAGGGUUGGAGUUAGGGUUAGUGUUGGAGCUAGGGUUAGGGUUGGGCUUGGAGCUAGGAUUUUUCUGAGUGCACUGAACCAACUCCCAAGUCUCUAGGACGUUCCUAAAAAAAUUUGAUUUUUUCCCAUAGGAAUGCAUGGGUUAGGGUUAGGGUUAGGGUUAGGGUUGGAGCUAGGGUUAGGGUUGGAGUUAGGGUUAGUGUUGGAGCUAGGGUUAG